CGGUAAUUCCAGCUCCAAUAGCGUAUACUAAAGUUGUUGCAGUUAAAAAGCUCGUAGUUGGAUUUCUGCGGGGACGGAGCGGCCGGUCGCAACUUGCGACUCGAGCUAGCGCUUUCCCCGCAUCCUGCCGCGAACCGUGCUACCAUUAGCUUGGUGGCGCUGGGGAUCGGCUCGAUUACUUUGAGAAAAAUAGAGUGUUCAAAGCAGGCCACACGCCUUGAAUAAGUUAGCAUGGAAUAAUGACUAAGGACUUCGGUUCUAUCUUGUUGGUGUUCGGGACUGAAGUAAUGAUUGAUAGGGACAGUUGGGGCGGUCUGUAUUCCAAAGCGAGAGGUGAAAUUCUUAGACCUUCGGAAGACAAACAGCUGCGAAAGCGUUCCGCAAGGAUGUUCCCUUUGAUCAAGAACGAAAGUUGGGGGAUCGAAGACGAUCAGAUACCGCCGUAGUCUCAACUAUAAACUAUACCAGCUAGGGAUCGGUCAACGUUUAAUCAUUCGACUUGAUCGGCACCUUAUGAGAAAUCAAAGCAUCUGGGUUCCGGGGGGAGUAUGGUCGCAAGGCUGAAACUUAAAGGAGUUGACGGAAGGGCACCACCAGCCGUGGAGCCUGUGGCUUAAUUCGACUCAACACGGGAAAACUUACCAGGUCCAGACAUAGUAAGGAUUGACAGAUUGAUAGCUCUUUCUUGAUUCUGUGGGUGGUGGUGCAUGGCCGUUCUUAGUUGGUGGAGUGAUUUGUCUGGUUAAUUCCGUUAACGAACGAGACCCCAGCCUGCUAAAUAGCGCGGCUGAGCUUUGCUCGGUGCGAGCUUCUUAGAGGGACUAUGAUGCGCGAUAGCACAUGGAAGUUUGGGGCAAUAACAGGUCUGUGAUGCCCUUAGAUGUUCUGGGCCGCACACGGGCUACACUGGCGCCUGCAACGAGCAUAUCAGCUGGCCCGAGAGGGUCUUGGCUAAUCUUUUGAACCGGCGCCGUGCUUGGGAUUGACCAUUGCAAUUGUUGGUCAUGCAACGAGGAAUGCCUUGUAAACGCGAGUCAUCAGCUCGCAUUGAAUACGUCCCUGCCCUUUGUACACACCGCCCGUCGCUCCUACCGAUGAAUGUUCCGAUGAAAUUUUCGGAGAGCGCCAGAGAACGGGGCUCUGCCUUGCAGAUCUGGAGGCUCAAAGUCACUUAAAUCUGAACAUUUCGAGGAAGGAGAAGUCGUAACAAGGUAGCCG
Molecule: ribosomal RNA, 1218 nt
Filed under: uncultured Rhizaria
Lineage: Eukaryota
Description: SSU rRNA
Rfam family: Eukaryotic small subunit ribosomal RNA
Source: RNAcentral